GCACAAACAAUUGCUGUCUAAUCUCAAGACGAAGGCCCCACUCGAAUCUUCUAGCCUUCCUGCCUUCGUUCAUCAUGUUCUCAGGAGAAUAUCGACCCAACUUCAGGAACUUACGAGCAUAUUCUGAUACAGUCAUGUCCCCCUGAACCAAGUAUGUAAAUUCCAUCUCCUUCAGAUGUCGGAGAUGCUCUAAGAGGUACUCUGCAUGAAAGGCCGUCAAGAACUAUUCCCAAGUGACUGAAAAGGGG
This 248-nucleotide long non-coding RNA is filed under the name Carica papaya (papaya). Its description in RNAcentral is "long non-coding RNA (CPAP_LNC007466)". The record is from RNAcentral. Lineage: Eukaryota; Viridiplantae; Streptophyta; Magnoliopsida; Brassicales; Caricaceae.